GCCACCUCUAAGAGACAAGUCACCAGCCAAAACUCCAACCUGAAGAUUCAAGCCAAAGACUUCCUGGACAAUGAGAAAACUGAGGAACGCAAGUUUAAUGACUAACUCAAGGUCCUCAUAGCUGAUACUGUGUGGC
This 136-nucleotide long non-coding RNA is filed under the name Monodelphis domestica (gray short-tailed opossum). RNAcentral's name for it is "lncRNA (ENSMODG00000034695.2)". The record is from RNAcentral. Lineage: Eukaryota; Metazoa; Chordata; Mammalia; Didelphimorphia; Didelphidae.